This 394-nucleotide ribosomal RNA is filed under the name uncultured Acetobacteraceae bacterium. RNAcentral describes it as "bacterial SSU rRNA". It matches the Rfam family "Bacterial small subunit ribosomal RNA", at positions 360 to 771 of the family's 1533-position model. The record is from RNAcentral. Lineage: Bacteria; Pseudomonadati; Pseudomonadota; Alphaproteobacteria; Acetobacterales; Acetobacteraceae.
AAUAUUGGACAAUGGGCGCAAGCCUGAUCCAGCAAUGCCGCGUGUGUGAAGAAGGUCUUCGGAUUGUAAAGCACUUUCGGCGGGGACGAUGAUGACGGUACCCGCAGAAGAAGCCCCGGCUAACUUCGUGCCAGCAGCCGCGGUAAUACGAAGGGGGCUAGCGUUGCUCGGAAUGACUGGGCGUAAAGGGCGCGUAGGCGGAUGACAUAGUCGGGCGUGAAAUUCCUGGGCUCAACCUGGGGACUGCGUUCGAGACGUGUUGUCUUGAGUUCGGAAGAGGGUCGUGGAAUUCCCAGUGUAGAGGUGAAAUUCGUAGAUAUUGGGAAGAACACCGGUGGCGAAGGCGGCGACCUGGUCCGAUACUGACGCUGAGGCGCGAAAGCGUGGGGAGCAA